AAUACGUUCCCGGACCUUGCACACACCGCCCGUCAAGCCAUGGGAGUCGGGUGUACCUAAAGUCGGUAACCGCAAGGAGCUGCCUAGGGUAAAAUCGGUGACUGGGGCU
This 109-nucleotide ribosomal RNA is filed under the name uncultured bacterium. Its description in RNAcentral is "partial 16S ribosomal RNA". It matches the Rfam family "Bacterial small subunit ribosomal RNA", at positions 1365 to 1482 of the family's 1533-position model. The record is from RNAcentral.